GACGAACGCUGGCGGCGUGCUUAACACAUGCAAGUCGAGCGGUAAGGCCCUUUCGGGGGUACACGAGCGGCGAACGGGUGAGUAACACGUGGGUGACCUGCCCUCAGCUCUGGGAUAAGCCUGGGAAACUGGGUCUAAUACUGGAUAUGACUCCACGGUGCAUGUCGUGGGGUGGAAAGCCUUGUGCGGCUGAGGAUGGGCCCGCGGCCUAUCAGCUUGUUGGUGGGGUGAUGGCCUACCAAGGCGACGACGGGUAGCCGGCCUGAGAGGCGACCGGCCACACUGGGACUGAGACACGGCCCAGACUCCUACGGGAGGCAGCAGUGGGGAAUCUUGCGCAAUGGGCGAAAGCCUGACGCAGCGACGCCGCGUGAGGGAUGACGGCCU
RNAcentral lists this ribosomal RNA (387 nucleotides) under uncultured bacterium. Its description in RNAcentral is "bacterial SSU rRNA". It matches the Rfam family "Bacterial small subunit ribosomal RNA", at positions 28 to 417 of the family's 1533-position model. The record is from RNAcentral.